UUGCACGUUGCGAGAAUUCUGUGCAGCUUUGCAUCUUUAAAUGACACAUAGAGUCCAAGUUACAUGGUUACAUGACUGUAGCUCCUUUUUGCUAUGGAAUGUUCCACAAAUUAGGAUAAUGGGGUUUGGAAGAAGUUGCGACGAUCAGGACAUGUUUGGAAUUUUAGAAUCCAAUUUACAUGAUGUUUGGUGUGGCUGAUUUGCGUCGUUAAAUAUUUCACAAACUGGAGAUGUUAGUGCGAAUUUUCAGGAAAUUGACGUAAUUAAGAGAUAUGGGAGUUGGUAGAGGAUAUUGGACAUUAGUCUAUUGCUGCUUAUUGCUGUGCAACUUUUGACAAGUUGAGAUUAUUAAUGUCAUCAAUGUCGCUUCUAUCAAUGAAUCGUAAGAAAAUUGGAUGUGAGGUAGUAGAACUCUUGUUUCAUGGCUGCUUCUGUUACCGCCUGAUAAGUAGUCUAAUAGAUCUUAUUCUAUGACUAUUUAUAUUGUAAUCUGACAAGAAAGUAUUAAUAAGGAAAUUAAGACGAAACUUGAUGCUAUACGAAGAAGAACAAUGUAAAAGAAUUUUAUAUGAACAAACGAUAUGAAAGAAACACAUAUUUCGAACAAUCUUGCUCUUUGUACCUGAUCCUCGCUAGGAUCAUCGUCUCUAACUAAAAUCUAGGUCAGUUACAUUGAAAAAGUUGUAAUACAAAUGACAAAAAAAAAGAACAAAUUCCUUUUUCUUUAAAGAACCAUCUUUUUCUGCAAAUAUCCAUUUUGCUAGGAAUAAUUUGGUGUCUAACGAUAGAUGGUGUGUAAAAGAUGCUGCAAACAUUGAGAUAACAAUCGGCAUACUUCGGAAACGUAAUAUUUACGGCAGGAGAAAGAGAGAUAUUCGCCACGGGAACGUUAGAGAAAUAUACAAGAAGAUGGGCCACGAUUUUGUAACACCGUAGUAACGGCGUGGAUUUUUAGAAAGAAACCGGAACGCAGCGAGAAUAUAUCUAUAAACGAGCCGAGAGAGCAAUGAAAGUCGAAGCCUGUAAGAAAUUUCAGAGAAACCUGAGAACUCUCUAAGCGAGAUUUUAUUUCAUGGAACGUGAAAUACAGGCCUUGGAGGAGUAACUACAUAUAUUAAGAGACUAUAAUUCAGAAAAAUCUUAAGACCAAGAAAUUCCAAUUGAAGGAAGAAAAUCCAACACACAGUCAGUAUAGGACAACAUGGAAGAACUAACUAGCCACUUGGAAUAGAGAAGAAAAAUGACGUUUCAAGAGAAGCUUGAUAACUACACAUUUAUAAAAAAUUUCAAUAUGCAGAAGUGUACAAAGUUCAUAUACUGUACGAAAAUAUCGAGAAUCAUGCUCAAAAUAUCAAAAGCGAAGUAGCUGUCGUAUUAUUUCAAAUGAUACGGAUACAAAAUUCUACUUUGGUUCCACUCCUUUACACCUGUUCGUAAAGAUACAAAUUUACUUAAAAAUCCACAGUCCAUUGGGUUGGCAACUAAGUGAUUGAGGAUUUUGUCAUUAGAUGGUAUUGAUACUAAUAAUAAUAAUACAAAUUCCAUAUAG
RNAcentral lists this unclassified non-coding RNA (1549 nucleotides) under Bombus terrestris (buff-tailed bumblebee). Its description in RNAcentral is "misc RNA ENSBTSG00005027682.1". The record is from RNAcentral. Lineage: Eukaryota; Metazoa; Arthropoda; Insecta; Hymenoptera; Apidae.